GGCGGCCGUAACUAUAACGGUCCUAAGGUAGCGAAAUUCCUUGUCGGGUAAGUUCCGACCCGCACGAAAGGCGCAACGAUCUGGGCACUGUCUCAACGAGAGACUCGGUGAAAUUAUAGUACCUGUGAAGAUGCAGGUUACCCGCGACAGGACGGAAAGACCCCGUGGAGCUUUACUGCAACCUGAUAUGGAAUGUUUGUACCGCUUGUACAGGAUAGGUAGGAGCCGAAGAGACGUGUGCGCUAGCAUACGAGGAGGCAAUGGUGGGAUACUACCCUGGCUGUAUGACCAUUCUAACCCGCCACGCUUAGCGCGUGGGGAGACAGUGUCAGGUGGGCAGUUUGACUGGGGCGGUCGCCUCCUAAAGAGUAACGGAGGCGCCCAAAGGUUCCCUCAGAAUGGAUGGAAAUCAUUCGCAGAGUGUAAAGGCACAAGGGAGCUUGACUGCGAGACUGACAAGUCGAGCAGGGACGAAAGUCGGGCUUAGUGAUCCGGUGGUUCCGCAUGGAAGGGCCAUCGCUCAACGGAUAAAAGCUACCCCGGGGAUAACAGGCUUAUCUCCCCCAAGAGUCCACAUCGACGGGGAGGUUUGGCACCUCGAUGUCGGCUCGUCGCAUCCUGGGGCUGUAGUCGGUCCCAAGGGUUGGGCUGUUCGCCCAUUAAAGCGGCACGCGAGCUGGGUUCAGAACGUCGUGAGACAGUUCGGUCCCUAUCCGUCGCGGGCGCAGGAAAUUUGAGAGGAGCUGUCCUUAGUACGAGAGGACCGGGAUGGACACACCGCUGGUGUACCAGUUGUUCCGCCAGGAGCAUCGCUGGGUAGCUAUGUGUGGCAGGGAUAAACGCUGAAAGCAUCUAAGCGUGAAGCCCCCCUCAAGAUGAGAUUUCCCAUUUCUUCGGAAAGUAAGAUCCCUGAAAGAUGAUCAGGUAGAUAGGUUUGGAGUGGAAGUGUAGCGAUACAUGGAGCGGACAAAUACUAAUCGAUCGAGGACUUAACCAA
Molecule: ribosomal RNA, 997 nt
Filed under: Listeria monocytogenes
Lineage: Bacteria; Bacillati; Bacillota; Bacilli; Caryophanales; Listeriaceae
Description: partial 23S ribosomal RNA
Rfam family: Bacterial large subunit ribosomal RNA
Source: RNAcentral